UACGUAGGGUGCGAGCGUUAAUCGGAAUUACUGGGCGUAAAGCGUGCGCAGGCGGUUUUGUAAGUCAGAUGUGAAAUCCCCGGGCUUAACCUGGGAAUGGCAUUUGGGACUGCAAGGCUGGAGUUUGGCAGAGGAGACUGGAAUUCCCGGUGUAGCGGUGAAAUGCGUAGAUAUCGGGAGGAAUACCGAUGGCGAAGGCAGGUCUCUGGGCUAUAACUGACGCUCAUGCACGAAAGCGUGGGGAGCAAACAGG
This 253-nucleotide ribosomal RNA is filed under the name uncultured bacterium. Its description in RNAcentral is "partial 16S ribosomal RNA". It matches the Rfam family "Bacterial small subunit ribosomal RNA", at positions 524 to 776 of the family's 1533-position model. The record is from RNAcentral.